Molecule: ribosomal RNA, 1826 nt
Filed under: Puccinia triticina Race 106
Lineage: Eukaryota; Fungi; Basidiomycota; Pucciniomycetes; Pucciniales; Pucciniaceae
Description: bacterial LSU rRNA
Rfam family: Bacterial large subunit ribosomal RNA
Source: RNAcentral
UAGAGAGUGAAAGUCUCGUAUCCGAAAACGAACAAACUGGGCGAGUAUCCUGAGUAGAACGGGGCACGUGAAACCCUGUUUGAAGCUGGGGGGACCACCCUCCAAGGCUAAAUACUCCUUACUGACCGAUAGUGUACUAGUACCGUGAGGGAAAGGUGAAAAGAACCCCGAUGAGGGGAGUGAAAUAGAACUUGAAACCGCAUGCUUACAGACAGUCAGAGGGCUAUUGUAAAGCCUGAUGGCGUACCUUUUGCAUUAUGAUUCAGCGAGUUAUGGUAUGUGGCGAGGUUAAGCCGUUGCAGGUGUAGCCGUAGGGAAACCGAGUCUGAAUAGGGCGUUAGUCGCAUGCUGUAGACCCGAAACGGGAUGAGCUAUCCAUGGGCAGGUUGAAGCGAGGGUGAAACUUCGUGGAGGACCGAACUCUUGACGGUUGAAAACGUCUGGGAUGACCUGUGGAUAGGGGUGAAAGGCCAAUCAAAUUCCGUGAUAGCUGGUUCUCUCCGAAAUGCAUUUAGGUGCAGCGUUUAUCAUUACUGCCGGGGGUACAGCACUGAAUAGGCUAGGGGUGUUACCGCAUUACCAAACCUUAUCAAACUCUGAAUACCGGCAAGUACAGAUAUGCAGUGAGACUGCGGAUGCUAAGGUCCGUAGUCAAAAGGGAAAGAGCCCAGACCAUCAGCUAAGGUCCCUAAAUUGACACUAAGUGGAGAAGGUUGUGGAACUACUGUGACAUCCAGGAGGUUGGCUUAGAAGCAGCCAUCCUUUAAAGAAAGCGUAAUAGCUCACUGGACUAGUGGUUCUGCGCCGAAAAUGUAACGGGGCUUAAGUGUCGUACCGAAGCUAUGGACUUUUUAAAGUGGUAGGAGAGCAUUGUGUGUGCUGAUGAAGGCGUACCGUAAGGAGCGCUGGAGGUCCCACAAGAGCUGAUGCUGAAAUGAGUAGCGAUAAGGAGGGCGAGAAUCCCUCCCACCGUAAAGCUAAGGGUUCCUGGGCCAGGUGAAUCCUCCCAGGGUAAGUCGGAUCCUAAGGCGAGGCCGAAAGGCGUAGUCGAUGGACAUCAGGUUAAUAUUCCUGAACUUAGUAUUUAUCGUUUGACUGAAGGAGUGACGGAGAAAGGUAGCACAUCCAGAGAUUGGUUGUUCUGGUGUAAGGUCGUAGGUGGGGUCGGUAGGCAAAUCCGCUGGCCCGUUAACACUGAGAGCUGAUGCCGAGCCGCAAGGCGAAGUGUGUGACCCUAUGCUUUCAAGAAAAGCUUCGUAGGGAGAUAAGUAUUAAUCCGUACCGGAAACCGACACAGGUAGCUGAGGCGAAAAGCCUAAGGUGCGUGGAUGAACUAUAGUUAAGGAACUCUGCAAAUUAGUACUGUAACUUCGGGAUAAAGUACGCCCUUGAGUGUGAAGUCACUUGCUGACGUAGCACAUGAGGGUCGCAGUGAAAUGGGGGUAGCGACUGUUUACCAAAAACACAGGUCUAUGCAAACACGUAAGUGGAAGUAUAUGGGCUGACGCCUGCCCGGUGCUGGAAGGUUAAGAGGUGAGGUUAGCCGCAAGGCGAAGCUUUAAAUUGAAGCCCCAGUAAACGGCGGCCGUAACUAUAACGGUCCUAAGGUAGCGAAAUUCCUAGUCGGGUAAGUUCCGACCUGCACGAAUGGCGUAACGACUUCCCCACUGUCUCAACUGUAGAUCCAGCGAAAUUGGUGAGCGCGUGAAGAAACGCGCUACCCGCGGAAGGACGAAAAGACCCCGUGAACCUUUACUGUAACUUGGCAUUGGGUUUCGGUUAACAUUGCGUAGGAUAGGUGGGAGUUUUUGAUCCGUGCAUUCCGG